Neurospora crassa OR74A is the source of this 656-nucleotide non-coding RNA. NCBI's taxonomy places the organism in Eukaryota, Fungi, Ascomycota, Sordariomycetes, Sordariales, Sordariaceae. The record is from RefSeq and is a predicted model, not a curated record.
UUCUUGACACCGCCUUCUAUCCCAAAUGGUCAAGCUGCAGCAUCCGCAACGGAUUCUUUCUGUAUUCGCACACUGUCGAACCUUGGAGCGCGAUCACAGAAAUCCCACUGAGAUUGGCAGUCGGCGUGGCGGAAGGAAGAACCUACCAGUCCACCCGACCAUCCAACGGGCAUCUCGAUCUAUAACAGGUCUCGACUACUUCCCUAGCCACUUGUUUGUCUCCUGAGCUGCAGUAGUAGUUCGUCAGCUCUUGUCUGGACGGCAUUUUCCCCCUGGGAGAAGCGUAUCAACGAUGCGUUUCAACCGCUGCAUGCAUCACAAGUCACAAGCCAGCCGCAUUUACCACACACAAUAGCAUCCCUCCGGAGACAUUGCACCGGAAAACGCAAGGGACACUCUUCCGUCCCGACCCCUCUCGACCACGGGCUCAUCAUUUCUGGAGCUGCCUUAUCCAACAUUGUUCUAUGGUAACGAAGAGACAGGAAAGAAAGAUGUCCAACAUUUGGAACAUGAGCUACCGACGGCCACUCUUUAGCUUUACUAGUAUGUGUUCAUGCUGUGCUAUGUGGCACUGACAAGUCUGCCAUGUGUCUGUUGCUUCACUCGACAUGUAUCGCCGUUGUUAGCCCAAUGCAGAAACGAUUGGAGGACUAACG